RNAcentral lists this ribosomal RNA (370 nucleotides) under uncultured Synechococcus sp. RNAcentral's name for it is "bacterial SSU rRNA". It matches the Rfam family "Bacterial small subunit ribosomal RNA", at positions 397 to 784 of the family's 1533-position model. Lineage: Bacteria; Bacillati; Cyanobacteriota; Cyanophyceae; Synechococcales; Synechococcaceae. The record is from RNAcentral.
GCGCGUGAGGGAGGAGGCUCUUGGGUUGUAAACCUCAAAACUUAGGGAAGAAAAAAAUGACGGUACCUAAUGUAAGCAUCGGCUAACUCCGUGCCAGCAGCCGCGGUAAUACGGAGGAUGCAAGCGUUAUCCGGAAUCAUUGGGCGUAAAGAGUCCGUAGGUGGCACUUCAAGUCUGCUUUCAAAGACCGAAGCUCAACUUCGGAAAGGGAGUGGAAACUGAAGAGCUAGAGUAUAGUAGGGGUAGAGGGAAUUCCUAGUGUAGCGGUGAAAUGCGUAGAGAUUAGGAAGAACACCAGUGGCGAAGGCGCUCUACUGGGCAUAUACUGACACUGAGGGACGAAAGCUAGGGGAGCGAAUGGGAUUAGAUA